GAUAAACGCUAGCGGCAGGCUUAACACAUGCAAGUCGAGGGGCAGCAUAGAUUGUAGCAAUACAAUUGGUGGCGACCGGCGCACGGGUGCGUAACGCGUAUGCAACCUACCCGUCACAGGGGGAUAAUCCGGAGAAAUCUGGUCUAAUACCCCAUAACAUAUGGAUCGGCAUCGGUUCAUGUUGAAAUUUUCGGAGGUGACGGAUGGGCAUGCGUAGCAUUAGCUUGUUGGUGAGGUAGCGGCUCACCAAGGCGACGAUGCUUAGGGGGACUGAGAGGUUUUCCCCCCACACUGGUACUGAGACACGGACCAGACUCCUACGGGAGGCAGCAGUGAGGAAUAUUGGUCAAUGGGCGCAAGCCUGAACCAGCCAUGCCGCGUGCAGGAUGACGGCUCUAUGAGUUGUAAACUGCUUUUGUACGAGGGUAAAGUGGGUUACGUGUAACCUUUUGAAAGUAUCGUACGAAUAAGGGUCGGCUAACUCCGUGCCAGCAGCCGCAGUAA
RNAcentral lists this ribosomal RNA (504 nucleotides) under uncultured bacterium. RNAcentral's name for it is "partial 16S ribosomal RNA". It matches the Rfam family "Bacterial small subunit ribosomal RNA", at positions 28 to 523 of the family's 1533-position model. The record is from RNAcentral.